This is a long non-coding RNA of Dermacentor silvarum, 383 nucleotides long. RefSeq lists it as uncharacterized. The transcript has 3 exons. The record is from RefSeq and is a predicted model, not a curated record. Lineage: Eukaryota; Metazoa; Arthropoda; Arachnida; Ixodida; Ixodidae.
GCUUUGUUUUGCGGCCGUCUAUCUACCACGUUUAGCAUGGUGGUUAGUUGUUGCGCUGUUGGAUGCACCAAGCGCGCGGCGAAAGGCAGCGGCGUCGGUUUUUUUCGUUUUCCGAAAGAAAACACUCGUCGCAAGGCAUGGGUGCAAGCUGUGCGCCGAGAAAAAUGGCAGCCCUCGGACAGCAGCAGGAUUUGCGGCCUACAUUUCAUCACUGGCGCUCCGUCUCCAUUCCCGAACCACCCGGACUGGGCACCUAACGUUUUUGCCUUCAAGAAGGCUAACCGCGAAGCUGAAGAAAAGAAAUGCGACAGAUACGAACGGACGUUGAAGCGGAAACGUUGUUCGGCUUCUAACCACGGAUCAGCGGCCCACACAGGAUGCAU